UACAGAGGUCCCGAGCGUUGUUCGGAUUCACUGGGCGUAAAGGGUGCGUAGGCGGUGGGGUGAGUUUGGGGUGAAAUCUCCGGGCCCAACCCGGAAAAUGCCUUGAAUACUAUCCUGCUAGAGGAUCGGAGGGGAGACUGGAAUUCUCGGUGUAGCAGUGAAAUGCGUAGAUAUCGAGAGGAACACCAGUGGCGAAGGCGAGUCCCUGGACGAUUCCUGACGCUGAGGCACGAAAGCCAGGGGAGCAAACGGG
This 253-nucleotide ribosomal RNA is filed under the name uncultured bacterium. RNAcentral's name for it is "partial 16S ribosomal RNA". It matches the Rfam family "Bacterial small subunit ribosomal RNA", at positions 524 to 776 of the family's 1533-position model. The record is from RNAcentral.